AAGGUCACGCAAGGAGUGGACCCAGGCCACACUGGAGCCUGGGCCGAUUCCUACAGGAUGUAUGCCAGAUCAUGGGCUCCCAGUGGCCAUGGAUGCCUCCCAAAGCCCUGGUCCUGGGCAGCUGGCCCUCUGCUUGCACCCCCUUGACACAGGGUCUGAAAGUAGGUCUGAGGCAGGCCCACCCCUUCCAGACCCCCUGGGGGCCCAGCCAGUUAUUCCUGGCUCUCCUGUCUCAUUUGUACUCUGGAAAACUUGACGGCAGCAUGGAAAGCUCCAGCUGCCAGUGCCACACGCCAGGCCCUGUGCCCUUUGCACAGGAAUGGCAGGGGCAGGGAGAAGGGAGGAGACGCCAUUUGCUCAGCUGCUAGGACACAGGGCCAGGAGGGGUAGGGAAGAGAAGCAUGUGUGGCAUGUUCAGCCCGUACCCCAGAGACAAUGUGUUCUGGGUGGGGGCCUUGGCGCCUUGGGACUUCUGGAGUGUGGUCUUUGGGCCAACCCCUUCCUCAAGAAAGACCUCAGGUCCCUAUGUAGUCUGGAGAUAGAUCAAGGCCCACCCCAGCUCCCUGGUUGGGGAAACUGAGGCUCAGGGGAGGCAACUGGAUUGGCUGCUUGCUGGCCCCCUUGGAGGGCUCUGGCUUGGACCCUCAGGAGUCAGUGCAGGCCUGGGUGUGAGUCAUUUCUCAGCUUCCAGCCUUACACCUGGCGUCUGGCACAUGCAAAGCGCAAGGUAGCAUCGUCCAUAUUACUGGGCUGUUUGGUCACUUGCCCAAGGUCACAAAACUAUCAAGUGGAAGAAGCCAGGGAAAGACCUGUGUCCCUUCCCCACUUAAUCACCUCCUUCACCCUACAUCACGCAGCCCAGCCUAAGAGGCCAGCAGUCCACGGCCAGCAUCCCUCCCCCGUACCAUUCCCUGCCCCUCCUGGCAAAGCCCCGUGCCAUUCAUCCCUAACUCCAGCCUUAUGCCCUUUCCUAGGGGUGUCUGUCCAUCCUGCCAGUCUGGGGAGGACCCAGCAACAGAGCAUAACCAGUGUGGGAGAAGGAAGGCACCCACCCUGCACAGGGCUGGGGAGCUGGGGGAGGCUGUACCUGGAGCUGCAGGCUCUUUCUCUGGCCUCUGGCUCCUGCCUGAUGAAGCUCGCCUCUGGGGAAAGGGAGCGGUGGCAGGAGAAUGCUCUUAAAGGCAAAGGCCGGCCUCCCUCCAUCUGCCUCCCCCGGGAGACCUGAAGCCAGUCAGAGAGCAGCUGGUACCCAUGGGUUGGGCGGAGCUCAGUGGCUCACUGGGGAGUGAGUGGGGAUGGGGGCCAGCCUGGCCUUUGUUCCUUCUCUUUGGUGCUCCCUGCAGUUUGAGAUCCACACAGCCCUGGGAGGAGCUGAGACCACUACAUGAAACGAAUCACAGAGUGCGCACACGUGUGCUUGGUGUGCAUUCAGAUAGGUAGCUACGGGAGAGCGUGUCUGCAAAUGCCCGUGUGCACAGGAAUGUGGGCCACAGCGACAACGGUAUGCUGGGGGAAGAAGCCAGAGGUACCGGAUCCAAUCACCUUCCCUGGAGUCUCUGCUUCCCGUCCCUGGGGCCUGUGCGGUGCCUUGGCUUCCAAGUCCUCCAGACCCUGACCGUAGAGGGGCCGCCCGUUCGCUUGAUGGGCAGCUCCCCACACAGCUGCUGCCUCCAUGUGUGUCCAGCCCUGGGAGAGGUGAGAGAGUGACUCUGAGGUGAGAGGACAGUCCACAGCUUUGGUCCUGCCCCUCCCCCACCAGGCCCUCCUCCAUCCUCCCCACAGGUAUUCAUUGCGGGAGGCCCCUGACACCAUUUGCACGGUUGCUGGUCACUAAAUAAAACCCGUAAAUUGUG
Molecule: long non-coding RNA, 1853 nt
Organism: Sapajus apella (tufted capuchin)
Lineage: Eukaryota; Metazoa; Chordata; Mammalia; Primates; Cebidae
Exons: 3
Source: RefSeq, a predicted model, not a curated record